Molecule: ribosomal RNA, 886 nt
Filed under: uncultured Staphylococcus sp.
Lineage: Bacteria; Bacillati; Bacillota; Bacilli; Caryophanales; Staphylococcaceae
Description: bacterial SSU rRNA
Rfam family: Bacterial small subunit ribosomal RNA
Source: RNAcentral
GAUGAACGCUGGCGGCGUGCCUAAUACAUGCAAGUCGAGCGAACGGACGAGAAGCUUGCUUCUCUGAUGUUAGCGGCGGACGGGUGAGUAACACGUGGAUAACCUACCUAUAAGACUGGGAUAACUUCGGGAAACCGGAGCUAAUACCGGAUAAUAUUUUGAACCGCAUGGUUCAAAAGUGAAAGACGGUCUUGCUGUCACUUAUAGAUGGAUCCGCGCUGCAUUAGCUAGUUGGUAAGGUAACGGCUUACCAAGGCAACGAUGCAUAGCCGACCUGAGAGGGUGAUCGGCCACACUGGAACUGAGACACGGUCCAGACUCCUACGGGAGGCAGCAGUAGGGAAUCUUCCGCAAUGGGCGAAAGCCUGACGGAGCAACGCCGCGUGAGUGAUGAAGGUCUUCGGAUCGUAAAACUCUGUUAUUAGGGAAGAACAUAUGUGUAAGUAACUGUGCACAUCUUGACGGUACCUAAUCAGAAAGCCACGGCUAACUACGUGCCAGCAGCCGCGGUAAUACGUAGGUGGCAAGCGUUAUCCGGAAUUAUUGGGCGUAAAGCGCGCGUAGGCGGUUUUUUAAGUCUGAUGUGAAAGCCACGGCUCAACCGUGGAGGGUCAUUGGAAACUGGAAAACUUGAGUGCAGAAGAGGAAAGUGGAAUUCCAUGUGUAGCGGUGAAAUGCGCAGAGAUAUGGAGGAACACCAGUGGCGAAGGCGACUUUCUGGUCUGUAACUGACGCUGAUGUGCGAAAGCGUGGGGAUCAAACAGGAUUAGAUACCCUGGUAGUCCACGCCGUAAACGAUGAGUGCUAAGUGUUAGGGGGUUUCCGCCCCUUAGUGCUGCAGCUAACGCAUUAAGCACUCCGCCUGGGGAGUACGACCGCAAGGUUG